Molecule: RNA transcript, 4696 nt
Organism: Nothoprocta perdicaria
Lineage: Eukaryota; Metazoa; Chordata; Aves; Tinamiformes; Tinamidae
Gene name: bifunctional heparan sulfate N-deacetylase/N-sulfotransferase 4
Exons: 16
Source: RefSeq, a predicted model, not a curated record
AGGAGCGGCUGCUAYUGGGGUGAUUAAAUAGUUCUCGCAGCCUUUCUGCCACACUUGGACUGCUCCCUGGGGUGAUGCUCGUGUCCGAGGAGGAAGCUGCAUUUCGCCAGCAAGCCGAGCAGAGCUUUGAAUCAUUCCAGCUGCCUGCUUGUUUUGAAAAGGACAGUCUGGGUAUAAAUAAAAUGUGACUGUGCUGGUAGAGUUCAGUUACUGGGGGCUGGCGCAAGAGGAGCCUUCCUGGGAUACUGUUCAGACAGCUGAUGUGGACUGAAAACUCUCUGUAGUUUGCCUGGAGCCAUGCGAAGAGAUUUGAAUAGCAGAUGCCUCUUUCCUGCACACUAAGAAAAGAAAUUCUUCGCUAGCUCAUAAAGCUCAUAAAGCCCGGGAGAUCCAGCAGGACCACACUGUGAAGGAAAAAUAUGCAGUUUUAGAUCUGCUUGCCUGCUAUUCCCUUCUGUUGCAGAAGUGGAUGGAGAAAUUCAAUAAUGCUAGGGGUCCUCCUCACUGGCUAUUGGCAACUGCUGCAUUCUGAGAAAGUCUCUUUCAAUUUAGCUUUCCAGAUCCUUUGGCUUCCACCUCCCACAACUUUAUAACCUCCUCAAGAGUUUCAUAAAUGCACUGCAAUGGUCACAUGAAGAGCUCUGUGGGGCAAUCAGCACCUUGGCGUCUCMUAGUUACUAUGGCACUUUAGGAAGAGAGACACCAAAAAGCAGCAAGUCCGACAGCAGUUGAGAGCCUGGCAAAACAUGAAUCUUACGGUGAGACUUCGCCGUAGUUUCAGAACCCUCGUAAUCCUCCUGGCUACGUUCUGCCUGGCAAGCAUUGCUAUCUCUGCCUACUACCUGUACACGGGCUACAAGCAGCAAAUGGCCCUUGUGGAAACCACUGGAGAAGCCGAAUGUGAAGAUCUUAAACUUUUACCAUACAGAUYCGUGGAGCUGAAAACUGCUAAGCCAAUUGACCCAUCUAAAACUGACCCCACUGUCCUUUUGUUUGUAGAAAGCCAGUAUUCMCAGCUGGGGCAAGACAUCAUAGCUAUCCUCGAGUCCAGCCGUUUUCCCUACCACAUGGUCAUUGCGCCUUCCAAGGGGGAUAUUCCCCCUCUCACAGAGGGUGGGAAAGGAAAAUAUACAAUUGUUAUAUACGAGAAUAUUUUAAAAUAUGUGUCCAUGGACUCAUGGAAUAGAGAGCUUCUAGAAAAAUACUGUGUGGAAUACAGUGUUAGCAUAAUUGGUUUUCAUAAAGCCAAUGAGAACAGCUCACCAACGACAAAAUUAAAAGGACUUCCGUUACAUCUUUACAAUAACAUAGCCCUAAAAGACUGUUUUAUAAAUCCUCAGUCUCCACUACUGCGCAUUACCAAAGCACCAAGGGUCGAGAAAGGUCCCCUGCCUGAUGAAGACUGGACAGUUUUCCACUUCAACCAUUCCACCUACCAACCUAUCCUUUUAGCAGAACUGCAAACUUCCAGACCAUUGCCAGCAGUAUUGCCAAAGGCUGCUCUAUAUGCAACAGUCAUUCAGGACCUGGGCCUUCACGAUGGGAUUCAGAGAGUCCUUUUUGGAAACAACUUGACCUUCUGGUUGCACAAGCUGAUCUUUAUUGAUGCCAUCUCCUUCCUGUCUGGAAAAAAGCUCACACUGUCCUUGGAUAGGUACAUCCUUGUGGACAUAGACGACAUCUUCGUUGGGAAGGAGGGAACAAGGAUGAAUGUCAACGAUGUGAAGGCUUUACUAGAGACUCAAAAUUUACUGCGCACUCAGGUUGCAAAUUUUACCUUCAACCUUGGAUUUUCAGGAAAAUUUUACCACACAGGCACAGAAGAGGAAGACAAGGGUGAUGAUUUGUUGUUGAAGUCAGUUGAUGAGUUUUGGUGGUUUCCCCAUAUGUGGAGUCACAUGCAGCCUCACCUCUUCCAUAAUGAGUCAUCCCUGGUGGAGCAGAUGAUCCUCAACAAAGAGUUCGCACUGGAUCACGGGAUACCGACAGACAUGGGGUACGCGGUGGCUCCGCACCACUCGGGAGUCUACCCGGUCCACAUGCAGCUCUACGAGGCCUGGAAGAAGGUGUGGGACAUCCGCGUGACCAGCACGGAAGAGUACCCGCACCUGAAGCCCGCACGGUACAGACGGGGCUUCAUCCACAAUGGCAUCAUGGUGCUGCCUCGACAGACCUGUGGCCUUUUCACUCAUACAAUUUUUUACAAGGAAUACCCUGGGGGUCCUCAGGAACUGGACAAAAGUAUCCAAGGAGGUGAACUCUUCCUCACCGUUCUCCUGAAUCCUAUCAGCAUCUUCAUGACCCACCUGUCCAACUACGGGAACGACCGCCUGGGGCUCUACACCUUUGCCAACCUGGCCGCCUUUGUGAAGAGCUCCACCAACCUGCGGCUGCGGACGCUGCCGCCGCUGCAGCUGGCACACAAGUACUUCCAGCUCUUCCCUGAGCAGACCGACCCUCUCUGGCAGAACCCGUGCGACGAUAAGCGACACAGAGACAUUUGGUCCAGAGAUAAAACUUGUGACCACCUGCCCAAAUUCCUUGUCAUAGGACCUCAGAAAACAGGAACAACAGCACUUUAUCUAUUUCUUCUGAUGCAUCCUUCCAUCAUCAGUAACCUCCCUAGCCCCAAAACUUUUGAAGAAGUUCAGUUCUUCAAUGGAAACAACUAUCACAAAGGAAUUGACUGGUACAUGGAUUUCUUCCCUGCUCCCUCCAACGCCACCACUGACUUGCUCUUCGAGAAAAGCGCCAACUACUUCCACUCAGAGGAAGCUCCUCGACGAGCUGCUUCCCUCAUCCCCAAGGCCAAGAUCAUCACCAUCCUCAUCGACCCAUCCGACCGGGCGUACUCCUGGUACCAGCACCAGAGAUCCCACGAGGACCCCGCUGCCCUCAAAUUCAAUUUCUACGAAGUGAUCACGUCAGGCCAGUGGGCGCCCUCCGAGAUACGGACCCUGCAGAAGCGCUGCCUGACCCCCGGCUGGUAUGCUAUCCACAUCGAAAGGUGGCUGGCACACUACCCUGCCUCACAGUUGCUAAUCAUUGAUGGACAGCAGCUCAGAAGUGACCCAGCUUCUGUGAUGGAUGAAGUGCAGAAGUUUCUUGGCGUCUCUCCUCAUUACAAUUACUCUGAAGCUCUAACAUUUGACCCUCAGAAAGGGUUUUGGUGCCAGUUACUGGAAGGAGGGAAAACAAAGUGCCUGGGAAAAAGCAAAGGUCGAAAAUACCCGCCAAUGGAUCAAGAGUCUCGAGCUUUUCUGUCAAGCUACUACCGAGACCACAACGUGGAACUGUCCAAGCUGCUGCACAGACUGGGCCAGCCGCUGCCGUCGUGGCUGAGGCAGGAGCUGCAGAAAGCGAGGUAGCACUGACCCGCACAGCACCAAAGCCUCCAAGGACCAUUUCCUUCACAUAAAACCCUGCGCUUCUCCAACUCACUUGUGAUCGUCAGUAGAGGACCUCAUGAAUAACGCUCUUUCUAUAAAAAAAAAAAUAAAUAAAUAAAAUUAAAAAAAAGUAAAACUGUUUAUGUGCACGCGCUGACGGUUAUUAGCAUCGACUCCUUUUGUCAGCCUCCAGGAAAUAAUAGAGACUUAUAUGGCAUUAUUUUGUAUCCAAACUGGGAUUUGUGCAUAGUCUAGUCCCUCUGUUUGCCAGAAAGUACCAGAAACUGUGUGUAGGACUGAUAGGCCUCGGUGUCUAUGACCAGUUGCAGUCUGUCAGGACACAACAAGCAAAGGAUGGGAACAUCUCUCCUUGGAUUAUGAGCUGCAGGCCGGUGCCGUGGAGCUGCGUGGCCGGCUGAGCUGCAGCACRGUGAGGUGACUUCUCCUCGUGGAUCUCCAAGCUCUCCGUGAAACCCCGACUGCCAUUUUCACCUGGCUGCUUUGCCACCUUGAUAGUGGGUUUUGCUGGGUUCCUGCAGAACCUGUGGUAGAGCACUGACAUGUGAAAUUAUGUGAAAUAGCUUGUCAUAAUGCCAUGACAAUCGUUAUAAUAUUAUCAAAACAGUUAAAAAAAAAAAUCUAGGCCGGUCAUCAGAGCAGUGUACUGACAAAAAUGUUGAUGCUUUUGUUUCUGUCCUGGAAGCAGUGUUUUCACUCCAAAGCCUUCAAAAUAGGAGAUGGGGUUAGUCAUUCAGAGUAUUGUCUUAAAGCCAUUUUGGAAUAAAGUUUUAAAAGAGUUCAAUGGCCAAGGGCAUUUAUUAAAGUUUUGGAGAACCUCCAGCCUGCUGAAGAAGCCUCUUUCUACAGACUUUCACAGAGCUGAACAGACAAGCAUAUCUACCAUAUACAUAUGAUAUAUGCAUUUUUAUGCUGGUACAUUUACAUACUAUAUAUCUGAUUCAGACAUACACUUAGUUUUAUGUAUCCACAUAAAACAUAUGUUUAGAGACCAUCUUCUUAAGUGUGCACAUGACUUCAYUGCAGGUUCAAUGAUAUUAACCUGCAAUGAUAUUGAAGAGCUGUAAAUCAUGCUCAGGAAACCAGUGCAAAUUAGAAAAAAAAAUAGCAUGGGCACACAAGGGAAUAUGGAAACAUGGGAGCCUGAGAAAGACAGUGUUGCCCACUCUCAUAUUCUCCUGUACAUAUUGUAGUGGGAUUUGUCUCACUUAAAUGAGGCAUCUGCCUCUGAAAGGUGUAUUUAGACUUAUUUCGUAGCUGAUACAGAGAAAUAUCACCUGUAAGACACA